This is a long non-coding RNA of Salvelinus fontinalis (brook trout), 1269 nucleotides long. RefSeq lists it as uncharacterized. The transcript is spliced from 2 exons. Lineage: Eukaryota; Metazoa; Chordata; Actinopteri; Salmoniformes; Salmonidae. The record is from RefSeq and is a predicted model, not a curated record.
CCCAACUCCUGAAAAUCAGCCUGGGUUCCUCUCCUCCUCUGUGGAGAUGUUCUUCAUUACUGAGAGUGAUGUUGAGGCAAGAGCAGAGAUGCCUGCCUUAGAUGCCAUUAAAGGAAUGAUGAAGAUUCAUCAGGGUAUCAGUGUCUCACCAGGCCAGAUAAAAUACAGGGACAUUACUUGUCUGUGCAAGAAGGAUAGUGGCAUGUUGGACUGUCCUUGUUUUCAGCUCAAAGAGGCAACUCUGGGUGACUCUGCAGCAUCUAACCAGCUCCCUGCAUCUCAUGACGAGGCUGACACCACAUGGCGACCUGGCACCAUUGAACUUAAUCACGUAGGGGAGUGGUGUGUCCAUUAUGACCAUUAAGGAUACCCUGGCAUCAUCAUGGAUGUAGAGGAACAUAACAUCAAGGGGAAGUGCAUGCACCUGAAUGGCAUCGACAAAUUAUUCAGGCCAAGCCCAAAGGAAGAUAUUUGUUGGUACUCUGAUGGACAGAUAAUCUGUCUGAUGCCAGAGCCACAGGCUGUUAAUAAACACUGAGCAGAUGGAAAAAUCCACUUGGAAGUAUGUGGAAGAGCAUUUGGGGUGAACGGGGGGAAAGAUGGAAAGAGGGUGAGGAAGAGAAGGACAGGAAUGUGUUCCAAUGCUAAUUCCAAUGAUUUUUGUAGGGGCAAUGUAUUUGUUGUUUUUCACAAUGAAUAUGUAACUAAAUAGCAGUUCUAAUGUUGUUACUACAUGUAUUACUAUGUAAUGUCUAUUCAGUGUUCAGUAUUCAGGGUUUAAUUUAUGUUCUGUCCCGUUAUAGCUGUGCACCCUGUUAUCUUGGCAUCUUUUUCAAAUUAAUUGAGUUACAUUGUCAAAUAUAAAGAAUUUGUGUAAUGUAUUUUAAAGAGUAAGACACGGCCAACACCACACAAUUAUAAACUUGGAUAAAAUAUCAUUAAUACCCGUCUCAAUUUAGAAAGAUACGGUGCAAAUUAGAUGAAGUUUUGUAUAAAACUUGUACAAAACUUAUUUCUUUAUAAUUUGACCAGAACAAAUGGACAGGGUUGACAAGGGUACACAAUAGCUUUAUGAAAAUGUAAACAUUAAUAAAAUAGUCCAAUGAAAGUAAUUAAAGACAGUUAAGUGCAUAUCCAUAACAGGGUGGACUUAUCAUAUGGCUGAUUCACUGAAAAUGUGUUUAUAAUGAUCUAAGUGCUGGAGCUUGGCCAACAUGUUUUUCUACAAGUCUAAUAUUUCCAUAAAAGGAAUAAAAAUGUUACAUUUUG